Long non-coding RNA from Mirounga angustirostris (Northern elephant seal), 3702 nucleotides. RefSeq lists it as uncharacterized. Lineage: Eukaryota; Metazoa; Chordata; Mammalia; Carnivora; Phocidae. The transcript is spliced from 7 exons. The record is from RefSeq and is a predicted model, not a curated record.
CUCUUCAGAUCGCAUAAAUCUUUCGCCUUUUACUAAAGAUUUCCGUGGAGAGGAACAAGUCUGAGUAUUAACCCAAUUUUUUGAGGCCUUGCUUCUGCAGGGCUUAUUUGUUCUUUCAAGAAAAGAUGUAAAUGCUUGGUGAUUGGAGUUCGCGUUUUCUCACUUCGAAUGUCUUCAGGGAGAAUGUGGUGUGGGCCUUGCUGCUCUUCAGGCACUCAAUCAGCACGUGAAACUAAUGACAGUAUCGGGCAGCACGGGUCUUGUAUUAAUUACAUUGCCCGAACAGACCAGUUUAUAGAUCCUUCUCUCUUCAUGGAGCACAUUCAGACAGUCUCUGGCUUCCACAUACUUGGUCUGUACCCCUUGACCUGGGCAAUGGACAUGAACAAGAACUCCACUUCCUGGUUCAGCUCGUUCUUGAGCAUCUCUAGCUGUGAUGGGGCAGUGGAGCUUCAGAGGGGCGAACUAGCCAGGCCAAAGCCACUGUGAGCUUUCUGUUGCAGUGCCGUGGCUCAAGGAAUGAACAUCAGAGCCCCGGGAGAGCUGCAGAUCACCCAGUCUCCAUUCUCCUCCCCAGAGUCUUCAAGAGAAAGCAGCCCUGGCCACCUUUCCCAGAGUCCCUCUUGGCUUCACGUCCUGUUCACCUUUCCCCUCUCUCUCUCCUUUCUCCACCCCACACCCCUUCCCUUGGGCUUUGCUUUCCUGCUCUCUGGCUUGCUUUCCACAAACACGCGAGUGUUUAGAGCUUCUCUCCGCUCUGGCUGGCUCACAAAGAGGUAAGAUACCGUGCUCGUCCUUAGGAAACUCACUUCCUAAGUUCCCCAAGCAGGGAUGACAGGUAGACACGGUGUGCAGAUUUGCUGCGGAAGGAAGUAGUUCUGUAUGAGAGGGUUAAGCAAGGUGCAGAGGAAGGGCAGAAGCAGAAGUAGUUCUAACCGGAGAGAACCAGGGAGGACAUCGGGAGGAGGCAGUGAACAAGAACCAGUGGAGUGGGAUCAUUCCAGGCUGAAGGAACUUCUUGCAGAAAGGCCUGGAGGCAGUGUUGUGCCUGGCACAUGCUGGAGAAGCCAGGAGCCCGACUUGAAGGAUUGGAGUCCACAAAAGGAGCCAAGAAUUAGGCUCUGUUCUGAAUAAUAAUAAUAAUAAGAGCAAGCAUGGUCCUGAGUGCUUUACAUGACUGACUUGUUUACUGCUCACAACCUGCAAGGUAGGUGCUGUCCUUAUCCCCCUGGUUUCUAGAGGAGGAAAUGGUCCCAGAAGGUCACCCAGCUGGACAGCAGCUGAGUGGGGAUUACAAACCCAAGCCUGUGCUCUGAACCGCUGGAUUACACUGUCUCCCGUGAGGGGGGCCUUGAACGCCAGGCCAAAGGUGUCGUACUGCCCUGGGAGCAAUGGGAAGCGAUGGCAGGUUCCUGAUCUAACCUGCAUUUUAGGACAUGCCCAGCUUCCUCAACCGCCCUCCCUACUCCAGGGUCUGACAUCCCUGGGUCUCUCCUCAAUAUGCAGGAAGAAAAUCUUCAUCUCAGCCAGUUUAGACCAUUCCCUCUUCUCCCCACCAUGAGAUUCCCCUGUCCUUUCUCCUCCACACCCAGAUAGCAAGUCAGUAGCCAGCAUGGGCUUAGAACAAGGAGGCCAAUGUUCCAGCCCCAGCUCCACCACCUCACUUCUCUGGGCCUCAGUUUCCAUCUGUUAAGUGAGAGGGUGACAGAGAGUCCAUCCCUGCCCCCCACAAGGCUUUGAGAAGACUCAGAUGAGGUAACAGGGAGGCAUUCCACAAAAGGCCACCAGAAUUAGUAACAGAGGCCUCAUCGUUAUCACUCAGGACUCCACAGAGGCUCUUUCCCUUCCCUGAGGAAGGCCCUGGCCAUUUGACCCUCUUGCUGGUUCCCUUUCCACCCGGAAGGCCACACCAAGCUUUCCUCAGACAUGUCAACUGGGCAAAAAAGCAGGUGCUGGAAAUCUAGUAACCAUUCAUUCAUCUAUUUCUUGGGCAUCUACUAAGUGCCAAGCCCCAUGCAGCAGAUGAUAGCUUCCUGGCUGCUCAGAGGUCGCAGCCCGCCCUUUCGCUUCUUUGCUCCGCUGUGCCUUCAGCCUCAGAGCCCUUUCCCCAGCCAUCAUUCCUCUUCGAAGACUUCCUUAAUCCUGGACGCCUAGGAACUGCGUUUUCUUCUGUUUCCACAGCUUGUUGCUGUUACCACCCACGUGAGCAUUUGGAUAGAUAGCAGUACUUUUAUUCACCCCUGGGCAGUCAGUUCACUGAGGGCCUGGUCCGCCUCCCUUGCACGGGGCUGAGCACUUAUGAGCUGCUAGCUUCCAUCCAACUGUAGUCCCCAUAGCUGUAAUCCUCACUAAUUCCACAGGGUGGCAGCAAAACCCUCCGGUCACAGCCCUCCUCCUGGGAGAGCAGAGCCUCCAGGCAGGGCUGCUGCGUCCAGAGACUCCCUCGACUGCAGGGAAGCCAGGCCAGAGAGAGCACAAGCAGGGCGAGCGGCAGGCAAAGGGAGAAGGAGAAGCAGGCUCCCCGCUGAGCAGGGAGCCCAACCUGGGGCUCGGUCCCAGCACCCUGGGACCAUGACCUGAGCUGAAGGCAGCCGCCCGACCGACUGAGCCACCCAGAGAGAGCACAAGCAGUGGCAGGCAGAGGGAGAAGCAGACUCUCUGCAGGGCAGGGCCCGAUGCGGGGAGCCCCCCAGGCACCCCAAGUAUGUGACUUUUUUAUUCUGGCUAUCCUCGUGGGAACAGAGUGGUAUCGCAUUGGGGUUUUGCUUUUUAUUUAUUUAAUGUGCUGUUGGGCACUUGCAUAUCUUCUUUGCAGAAAUGUGUAUUCAGAUCCCUUGCCCAUUUUUUUAUUUAGGUUUUUUUUAAAUAUUAAGUAAUCUCUACACCCAACGUGGGGCUCAAACUCACGACCCCGAGGUCAAGAACUGAUUGCUCUACUAACUAAGCCGGCCAGGCGCCCCACCUUUGCCCAUUUUUAAAUUGGGUUACUUGUCUUUUCAUCAUUGAGUUAUUUUUAUUGCGUUAUGAGUUCUUCGUAUAUUCUAGAUACAAAUCCUUUAUCAGAGAUACGACGUGCAAGUAUUUUCUCCCAUCCUGUGCUUGUCUUGGUACUUUCUUGACGGUGUCAUUCGAAGCACAAAGUUCUUAAUUGUGAUAUGGUUUUUUUUUUUGGAUGUUUUUGGUGGUAUUUUUUCUUUUCUUGGAUUGUACCUGUGGCAUUAUGUCAGUUUUUGCCUAAUCCAAGGUUACAAAUCUGUACAUCUAUGUUUUCUUCUAUGUGCUAGCUUUUACAUUUAGGUUUUUGCUCCCUUUUAAUUGUUUUUACGUGGUGUGAGGAAGGGGUCCAAAUUCAUUCUUCUUCAUGUGAAUAUCCACUUGUCCCAGUGCCAUCUGUUGAAAAGUCUCUUCUUCCCCAUGAAUGGUUUUGAUAUCCUUGCCAAAGUUCAAUUUAUUUAUUUAUUUAUUUAUUUAUUUAUUUUUAAAGAUUUUAUUUAUUUAUUUGACAGAGAGACACACAGCGAGAGAGGGAACACAAGCAGGGGGAGUGGGAGAGGGAGAAGCAGGCUUCCGGCCGAGCAGGGAGCCCGAUGCAGGGCUCGAUCCCAGGACCCUGGGAUCAUGACCUGAGCUGAAGGCAGUCACCCAACUGACUGAGCCACCCAGGCGCCCUUAUUUUUAUAUUUUUUUAAGAUUUUAUUUAUU